This is a long non-coding RNA of Tympanuchus pallidicinctus (lesser prairie-chicken), 1045 nucleotides long. RefSeq lists it as uncharacterized. Lineage: Eukaryota; Metazoa; Chordata; Aves; Galliformes; Phasianidae. The transcript has 3 exons. The record is from RefSeq and is a predicted model, not a curated record.
UGGAAAGAAGCUGGUCUCAGUCAACAUUUCUUCUUCCCAAGGCAGUUCAUCUGAUGUGUAGGAGAGAAAUGAAAAAUAAGCUGCAUAGACUAAAAGAUCCUUGGCUACAACUGAAUUGAUGGGAGUUUUUGGAUUCUUGGAGAAAGAGUACAUAUUAUGGUGUGGGGUUUUUUUGGAAAAAGAUAAAUAUCAAUGAGGAAAAUUUGAGAAGGAAGAAAUACCAUGAAAGUGUAUUUUCAUUGGACAGAGAACCCCUGGAAGAGCAAUCCUAGAUCUGCAUUCUGCACUUGGAAACAAAAAAACAAUAAUCACCAAACAAACCAACAGAAUUUCACAUGCAGAACAGCUUCAUGGAGCAUGGAGUGGAUGGUCAACCAUGCUGUCUGGAACACUGAAAACUUGGCCUGCCCAAGAGUCACAAGGACUUCUAGUACCCAGACAAGCCGUAGGAGAGCACGCAUUUGGAAAGGACUGUGUGCAGGAGAUGGCAGCGAUUGCCCUGCAAUCUCACUGCCCUUGUGUGAAGCAGGACUGGGCAGCGUCCUGACUAUUUUGCUGACAGCUUCCACUGGCUCACUUCCUCCCAGAGCCAGGGUUUUGGGUUACCCAGCCAGGCCAGCAGGCUUUCAUUGCCAGUCAUGUGAUACAUCUUUGGCAUGGAAAUUUUUUUUGUAUUGUGCGUAAGCCACGUGCAGCAAAAGGUUAGCCCUGUUGAAAUCCAAAGCCUAAAAUUAUCUUUGCAGUCCUUCUCUGAAAUAAACUAUAAAUAGUUCUUCCAUAGCAUAUACAAUAGAUUUCCUAAGUAUGCUUGGGAACAUUCUAUAUAGAGCAUAAGAAGUUGUUUUGAAGUCAUAAUAGAAAACCUUAUUUCAUUUGGUUUGUAAUCUCAUUAUAAAUGAAGUAAGAAAGUCUUUCUAACAGUUUUGCCUCUUUGGAAAGCUGAACUUUCAACCACAGUUUAUCAACGUACUGAGCUCUGACUCAGUUUGGAAUUUCUUUUUAAGGAAAAAAAGAUGAAAGCACAUCAUAUGAUGUUAAAUAUCAG